RNAcentral lists this ribosomal RNA (58 nucleotides) under Diaporthe sp. MUT 4312. RNAcentral describes it as "partial 18S ribosomal RNA". It matches the Rfam family "Eukaryotic small subunit ribosomal RNA", at positions 1774 to 1831 of the family's 1831-position model. Lineage: Eukaryota; Fungi; Ascomycota; Sordariomycetes; Diaporthales; Diaporthaceae. The record is from RNAcentral.
UAGAGGAAGUAAAAGUCGUAACAAGGUCUCCGUUGGUGAACCAGCGGAGGGAUCAUUG